CCAUUGAUGUAGUCGCGCCAGAAUGCAUCGAGCCCGUCUCCUCUUGAGGGUGACGUAGGGCAGCAGGUCGUGGCGAGUGAUGAUGCGCAGCAGCUGCAGCACCUGGCGAAAGUUACUUUCAUCACAGCGGCCCUGGCGCUCCAGUGCCAAUAAGAAGUCACGUCCAUUUCGGAUGAGUCCACGCUCGUGGUCAUCAAUGACAUCAACAAAGAGGAAAGAAAGCACGCGCACAUCUCUGUGUGUCAGAUGAGUGCCCACGAUGUCAAACAUGCGGUGCAGGCUGUAUAGCCCAUGUUCCUGCUCACCAUGCUCUUCUGGCCACACCUGGCUUGCCCGCCGCUUUAGGCCCGCCAUGCUGGGGGCUCAGGUACUCAAUGCUUUCCAGAAUCCCUGCUCAGCAGCUGCAAUCCCCACCGUACUGAAAGGGCAGGGAAAGAACCGAUGAGACACUCAAGGGCAGGAACUAGUCUCAUGCAUUCCCAUAUUUCCAGUCGCUAACAAUGCCUGGCACAGUAUAGUGCUUUAUACAUGUUUAUUAAAUUUUUAAAGUGUUUGUUUAAAAAUAAACACUGGCCAGGCACAGGGGCUCACACCUGUAAUCCCAGCAUUUUGGGAGGCCAAGGCAGGAGGAUCACUUGAGCCCAGGCGUUCAAGACCAACCUGGGCAACAUAGGGAGACCCGUUUCUACAAAAAAAGAAAAAA
Molecule: small RNA, 703 nt
Filed under: Pan troglodytes (chimpanzee)
Lineage: Eukaryota; Metazoa; Chordata; Mammalia; Primates; Hominidae
Description: processed transcript
Source: RNAcentral